Molecule: ribosomal RNA, 174 nt
Filed under: uncultured bacterium
Lineage: Bacteria
Description: partial 16S ribosomal RNA
Rfam family: Bacterial small subunit ribosomal RNA
Source: RNAcentral
CCUACGGGAGGCAGCAGUGGGGAAUAUUGCACAAUGGGCGAAAGCCUGAUGCAGCAACGCCGCGUGAGGGAUGACGGCCUUCGGGUUGUAAACCUCUUUUAGCAGGGAAGAAGCGAAAGUGACGGUACCUGCAGAAAAAGCGCCGGCUAACUACGUGCCAGCAGCCGCGGUAAU